UUAUAGCGUAAAAGCAAAAUAAAUUCUUACAUACCGUAAUACAGAUAACCAAAGUAUAGAAUUUAAUUUACAGUGACACGUGGGCCCACGAAUGACCAAAAGUAUAAAAAGAAAUGAACCUACAGUCUUUGGAUGUGGCAAGUUCAACUGUAAUCCUCGCCGAUAUCAGUUAUCUACAAUUUAUUCUGAGCCUGAAAUGGGUGAAAAUGAGGGUGGUGAGAUUAUAAAAUCCCAGUGAGUAAACAAACAUCACUCAAAAUAUCUAAAGUCGAGUAAAAUGAGACUAUUAAAACAUUUCAUCAAACUGUAAUUUAUCAUCUUUCAACUUAUUUCAACCAAAUGAAAUCAAUUUAUUUAAAGCAAGUAAUCAGUAUGGCUUAUGAAUUUCUUAAAAAGCUUGGCUCAUGCCAAAAAUUAUUAUCAUACUCAGUUAUCUGGGAUACCUUGGCCGAGGGCUAUCCCAACUGAGUCCGCCAAGGCUAUUAGAAAGUCAUGUUUUUAUUUUGAAAACAUAGCCAUUCCUUGGCGUUGGCCGAGUUCCCCUUCACGUGGUGGUUUGGCGUGAAGUGAACUCUAAAAGUUAUACCUCAGGAGUUACCCUACUCGCCUCUCCAACCGAGGUAAAAAUAUAACAGGAUUCCGUGCCCCUCUAAUAGGCUAGUCCACAGAAUCCAGCCCACUGCAGCAGGUCAAACCCACCAUACAAUAAAAUUUUGACAGCAUGACAGGGCUAAUAUAUUACUACCCAGCCUGCAAGGGUAAAAUAAAGCAAUUCAUAUAAUUCAUAAAAAACACAGCCCAGCCAGUCAUGCCAAUACAAUAACAUAAGCCAUUAAUUCAAUUUUAAAUUUACAACAUAUCAGUGGUCUCCAAUUACUCUAUUUUCAAAAUCGUUAUUUCGUUUCAAGACAAUUUAUAAAAUAUUUUCAUUUAAACUCAUUUUGUUUACAAAACAUAAAAAUUUACCAUUUGAACUCAUUUUCAUAAAAUUCACCAAAACCGAAUAAAAACAUACUUUAGAUAAUUAAAAUGAUGGUAAGGUUACUCACCGUGUCUAGAGUGAGGAUUUUCGAAAUACUCAGACUAUUGGUCCUCGGGUGCAAUUCCCUUGCCUUUAUCAGAGGACUCACCACCUUGACACAGUACAAAAUCGAGAAAUUCACCACAUUGGUACUAAAUUGAAAUUAAACUAAUUUAGACUACUAAUGCUUGAUAUGGAAUGCAAAAAUGUCUAAAUUUUUGCCUAAAUGCGGUGUUAGCCUAUUUCGGUCUUUUACCCGAUAAAUUGAUAUACGCGUCCGUUUAAACUCCAAAUUAAUUUUUUUCAGUUUCUAUACCUCAAUUGCACCCAAAUUGACUUAAUGUCCCUCAGUGUGGUGCAAAUUAUCAGUCCCGAUAACAAAUUACGAAAAUACCCCUAGUGGGUAAAAAUUUGUAUUUUUGCUCCGAAAAUUUCCAUUAUUUUUCUAGGCUCAUAAUUCAUCAUUAUUCAUCAUAAUUCCUCAAAUAAACAUCAAGAUCAGCAGCCAAUAUUCCCCUAGAAAAUUCAGCAUAAUGGGUUUCAAUGGGAGAAAAUUAUAUCUCUAGCUUAUUUUUGCUAUAUUUCAAUAUAACUUAACUAAAAUCACUUAAUUCAAUUAAAAUCAACCAAAAAUCAAGCUCAAAACUCAUCCAUGGAGGUUUGGCCAGCAUGGGUGUCCAUACCCACUUUCUAAUUUUGCAUGGAAAUGAGAAAAAAAUGCAUGGGUAGUGAAAAUCACAAGGAAAAUCAAUGAAAUUUACCUUUUUAAUGCUUG
Molecule: long non-coding RNA, 1796 nt
Filed under: Theobroma cacao (cacao)
Lineage: Eukaryota; Viridiplantae; Streptophyta; Magnoliopsida; Malvales; Malvaceae
Description: long non-coding RNA (TCAC_LNC000827)
Source: RNAcentral